This 145-nucleotide ribosomal RNA is filed under the name Metazoa environmental sample. Its description in RNAcentral is "partial small subunit ribosomal RNA". It matches the Rfam family "Eukaryotic small subunit ribosomal RNA", at positions 1296 to 1461 of the family's 1831-position model. The record is from RNAcentral. Lineage: Eukaryota; Metazoa.
AGUUGGUGGAGUGAUUUGUCUGGUUAAUUCCGAUAACGAACGAGACUCUGUCCUGCUAAAUAGUCGCGCUCCCCUUCGCUGGGGCGCGAAUUCUUCUUAGAGGGACUGGCGGCGUCUAGCCGCACGAGAUUGAGCAAUAACAGGU